UACGUAGGGACCAAGCGUUGUUCGGAUUUACUGGGCGUAAAGGGCGCGUAGGCGGCGUGUUAAGUCACUUGUGAAAUCUCUGAGCUUAACUCAGAACGGUCAAGUGAUACUGAUGUGCUAGAGUGCAGAAGGGGCAACCGGAAUUCUUGGUGUAGCGGUGAAAUGCGUAGAUAUCAAGGGGAACACCUGAGGUGAAGACGGGUUGCUGGGCUGACACUGACGCUGAGGCGCGAAAGCUAGGGUAGCAAACGGG
Molecule: ribosomal RNA, 253 nt
Filed under: uncultured bacterium
Lineage: Bacteria
Description: partial 16S ribosomal RNA
Rfam family: Bacterial small subunit ribosomal RNA
Source: RNAcentral